CCUACGGGUGGCUGCAGUGGGGAAUAUUGGACAAUGGGGGGAACCCUGAUCCAGCCAUGCCGCGUGUGUGAAGAAGGCCUUUUGGUUGUAAAGCACUUUAAGCGAGGAGGAGGCUACUCUAGUUAAUACCUAGGGAUAGUGGACGUUACUCGCAGAAUAAGCACCGGCUAACUCUGUGCCAGCAGCCGCGGUAAUACAGAGGGUGCGAGCGUUAAUCGGAUUUACUGGGCGUAAAGCGUACGUAGGCGGCUUUUUAAGUCGGAUGUGAAAUCCCU
This 275-nucleotide ribosomal RNA is filed under the name uncultured Acinetobacter sp. RNAcentral describes it as "partial 16S ribosomal RNA". It matches the Rfam family "Bacterial small subunit ribosomal RNA", at positions 338 to 604 of the family's 1533-position model. The record is from RNAcentral. Lineage: Bacteria; Pseudomonadati; Pseudomonadota; Gammaproteobacteria; Moraxellales; Moraxellaceae.